This is a long non-coding RNA of Mauremys mutica (yellowpond turtle), 789 nucleotides long. RefSeq lists it as uncharacterized. The transcript is spliced from 5 exons. Lineage: Eukaryota; Metazoa; Chordata; Testudines; Geoemydidae. The record is from RefSeq and is a predicted model, not a curated record.
GACUGAAUUGGCCCUGUCAACACUGCUUCUCCACUUGUGAGAGAGAGACUGUACAUAGAACAGAUGCAGUGUAAUGCUAGUAGCUUUCCAAAAAGGUUUCUUUCCCUAGAGUGGACAGUAUUAAGAGCGGAACUUCUCAGUGAUUCAUCCUUGACUCUGGAAUUUACUUCUCCCCUUCUACUAACAAAGCUCAUUUUGAAGACUGUCAAGCUGAGUGCCUUUUCCUGGUUCAUGGUCUGCCCAAAGGUGACUUUUGGAGGAAAGUUCGAACAAAAUCUCAAGAACCAUUUUUGAGCUCUGUGAAGAUGAUGGUGCUGCUGCUUCUGGAGAUCCUAAAUUAAUUUCCAGUGAAUGCUGCUUUGAGAAGACCAGCAUUAUAAAAAGAUGCAAUGUCUAAUUCAGCUGAUUCUAUUUUUAUGCAUCUUGAAGUGUAGUGGUUCUCUGAAAAGUAGCUAAAUAAAAAUGGCUCCUUCUUACUAAAGUGAUCUGCUCCUAUUGUGAAUUCAAAACAUAUUCUUAAUUUAGUGACAAAUGAGUUUUUAAUACUUCUUUUAAACUCUUGCUAGGCAAUGCAACUAUGGGAGAGGCAGCUAGAUUCUAUUCUGGUUCUUACAUUAUCAACAGAAUUGUGAACUCUUAGAGUCACUAUUUUGUUCACUUAUAAGAGACUCAAGUGCUCCCUGCAUUUCUAUUUUUUAUUUAACCAGGAUAUCCCCAAAAGACUUAUCUUUCCAUGACUUUAGCUCCUGAAACUAAAAACAGGUUCCUUAAGCUAUCUACUUGUGAUAU